AAAGGGGGUGAAAAACCUCCUCGCCGGAAGACCAAGGGUUCCUGUCCAACGUUAAUCGGGGCAGGGUGAGUCGACCCCUAAGGUGAGGCCGAAAGGCGUAAUCGAUGGGAAACGGGUUAAUAUUCCCGUACUUCUGACUAUUGCGAUGGGGGGACGGAGAAGGCUAGGUGGGCCAGGCGACGGUUGUCCUGGUUCAAGUGCGUAGGCUUGAGAGUUAGGUAAAUCCGGCUCUCUUUAAGGCUGAGACACGACGUCGAGCUGCUACGGCAGUGAAGUCAUUGAUGCCAUGCUUCCAGGAAAAGCCUCUAAGCUUCAGAUAGUCAGGAAUCGUACCCCAAACCGACACAGGUGGUCGGGUAGAGAAUACCAAGGCGCUUGAGAGAACUCGGGUGAAGGAACUAGGCAAAAUGGUACCGUAACUUCGGGAGAAGGUACGCUCUUGAUGGUGAAGUCCCUCGCGGAUGGAGCUGACGAGAGUCGCAGAUACCAGGUGGCUGCAACUGUUUAUUAAAAACACAGCACUGUGCAAAAUCGCAAGAUGACGUAUACGGUGUGACGCCUGCCCGGUGCCGGAAGGUUAAUUGAUGGGGUUAGCGCAAGCGAAGCUCUUGAUCGAAGCCCCGGUAAACGGCGGCCGUAACUAUAACGGUCCUAAGGUAGCGAAAUUCCUUGUCGGGUAAGUUCCGACCUGCACGAAUGGCGUAAUGAUGGCCACGCUGUCUCCACCCGAGACUCAGUGAAAUUGAAAUCGCUGUGAAGAUGCAGUGUACCCGCGGCUAGACGGAAAGACCCCGUGAACCUUUACUACAGCUUGGCACUGAACAUUGAACCUACAUGUGUAGGAUAGGUGGGAGGCUAUGAAGACGUGACGCCAGUUGCGUUGGAGCCGUCCUUGAAAUACCACCCUUGUAUGUUUGAUGUUCUAACUUAGACCCAUUAUCUGGGUUGAGGACAGUGCCUGGUGGGUAGUUUGACUGGGGCGGUCUCCUCCCAAAGAGUAACGGAGGAGCACGAAGGUGGGCUAAUCACGGUUGGACAUCGUGAGGUUAGUGCAAUGGCAUAAGCCCGCUUAACUGCGAGAAUGACGGUUCGAGCAGGUGCGAAAGCAGGUCAUAGUGAUCCGGUGGUUCUGUAUGGAAGGGCCAUCGCUCAACGGAUAAAAGGUACUCCGGGGAUAACAGGCUGAUACCGCCCAAGAGUUCAUAUCGACGGCGGUGUUUGGCACCUCGAUGUCGGCUCAUCACAUCCUGGGGCUGAAGUCGGUCCCAAGGGUAUGGCUGUUCGCCAUUUAAAGUGGUACGCGAGCUGGGUUUAGAACGUCGUGAGACAGUUCGGUCCCUAUCUGCCGUGGGCGUUGGAAGAUUGAAGGGGGCUGCUCCUAGUACGAGAGGACCGGAGUGGACGAACCUCUGGUGUUCGGGUUGUGUCGCCAGACGCAUUGCCCGGUAGCUAAGUUCGGAAUUGAUAAGCGCUGAAAGCAUCUAAGCGCGAAGCGAGCCCUGAGAUGAGUCUUCCCUGAUACUUUAAGUAUCCUAAAGGGUUGUUCGAGACUAGAACGUUGAUAGGCAGGGUGUGUAAGCGUUGUGAGGCGUUGAGCUAACCUGUACUAAUUGCCCGUGAGGCUUAACCAUACAACACCCAAGGGGUUUUGUA
Molecule: ribosomal RNA, 1653 nt
Filed under: Vibrio cholerae
Lineage: Bacteria; Pseudomonadati; Pseudomonadota; Gammaproteobacteria; Vibrionales; Vibrionaceae
Description: bacterial LSU rRNA
Rfam family: Bacterial large subunit ribosomal RNA
Source: RNAcentral